AACUUUUGGCAAUGGAUCACAUGGUUCUGGCAUCGAUGAAGAACGCAGCGAAAUGCGAUAAGUAAUGCGAAUUGCAGAAUUCCAGUGAGUCAUCGAAUCUUUGAACGCACAUUGCGCCCUUUGGUAUUCCGAAGGGCAUGCCUGUUCGAGCGUCAUUAUCACCCCUCAAGCCCCGUGCUUGGUGUUGGACGGCUUGGUCGCGUCACCGCGACUCCUCCUAAAGACAAUGACGGCGGCCUGUGGUUCCCCCGGUACACUGAGCUUUUAAUUGAGCACGUAUUGGAUAAGGGCACCCGGGACCCGGUCUUCUCCCUUUACCGGGAAAUUUUCAAUGGUUGACCUCGGAUCAGGUAGGAAUACGCGCUGAAUUUAAGCAUAUCAAUAAGCGGAGGCU
RNAcentral lists this unclassified non-coding RNA (394 nucleotides) under uncultured Herpotrichiellaceae. RNAcentral describes it as "sequence contains ITS2". The stretch from base 1 to 155 matches the Rfam family "5.8S ribosomal RNA". Lineage: Eukaryota; Fungi; Ascomycota; Eurotiomycetes; Chaetothyriales; Herpotrichiellaceae. The record is from RNAcentral.